Molecule: unclassified non-coding RNA, 233 nt
Filed under: Gomphrena umbellata
Lineage: Eukaryota; Viridiplantae; Streptophyta; Magnoliopsida; Caryophyllales; Amaranthaceae
Description: ITS1
Source: RNAcentral
UCGAAACCUGCGUAGCAGAACAACUAGCGAACGUGUUAAUACCAUGAAAGGGGAGGGGUGAUGGCUUGCCUAGACCCUUCCUCUAAUGUCAUGUGGCUUUCCUUUGUGAUUACCGCAUGCCAAAAUAACCAACCCCCGGCGCGUUAUGCGUCAAGGAAUAUAUUCACUAUCUUGCCUAUCCUGAACCGGGUUUCCGGCAUAUGGGUGCGGCACCAAUGUAAGAAAUGGAAUGA